AGGCCUGUAGCUUAAUCGGUAAAGCUCGCUUUCCGUCUCCACGAAGGUUACUAUGCAGGUUCAAAUCCUGUCGGGUCUA
Non-coding RNA from Tulasnella sp. 408, 79 nucleotides. Lineage: Eukaryota; Fungi; Basidiomycota; Agaricomycetes; Cantharellales; Tulasnellaceae. The record is from the annotation of a GenBank genome assembly.